Molecule: ribosomal RNA, 253 nt
Filed under: uncultured bacterium
Lineage: Bacteria
Description: partial 16S ribosomal RNA
Rfam family: Bacterial small subunit ribosomal RNA
Source: RNAcentral
UACGUACGAGGCGAGCGUUAUCCGGAAUUACUGGGCGUAAAGCGCGCGCAGGUGGUUGGUCAAGUUGGGCGUGAAAUCUCCCGGCCUAACUGGGAGGGGUCGCCCAAGACUGGCCGACUUGAGGGCAGCAGAGGUAGGUGGAAUUCCUGGUGUAGUGGUGAAAUGCGUAGAGAUCAGGAGGAACACCGGUGGCGAAGGCGGCCUACUGGGCUGUCACUGACGCUGAGGCGCGAAAGCUCGGGGAGCGAACGGG